RNAcentral lists this ribosomal RNA (457 nucleotides) under uncultured bacterium. RNAcentral describes it as "bacterial SSU rRNA". It matches the Rfam family "Bacterial small subunit ribosomal RNA", at positions 50 to 507 of the family's 1533-position model. The record is from RNAcentral.
AAUACAUGCAAGUCGAGCGGACCCUUCGGGGUUAGCGGCGGACGGGUGAGUAACACGUGGGUAAUCUGCCCAACUGACUGGAAUAACGCCUGGAAACGGUGCUAAUGCCGGAUAGGCAACUGGUAGGCAUCUACCGGUUGGGAAAGGUGCAACUGCACCGCAGAUGGAGGAGCCCGCGGCGCAUUAGCUAGUUGGUGGGGUAACGGCCUACCAAGGCGACGAUGCGUAGCCGACCUGAGAGGGUGACCGGCCACACUGGGACUGAGACACGGCCCAGACUCCUACGGGAGGCAGCAGUAGGGAAUCUUCCGCAAUGGGCGCAAGCCUGACGGAGCAACGCCGCGUGAGCGAAGAAGGCCUUCGGGUUGUAAAGCUCAGUCAUUCGGGAAGAGCGGACAGGAGAGGGAAUGCUCCUGUCGAGACGGUACCGGAAGAGGAAGCCCCGGCUAACUACGUG